UACGAAGGGGGCUAGCGUUGCUCGGAAUGACUGGGCGUAAAGGGCGCGUAGGCGGCUUGCACCGUCAGAUGUGAAAUUCCUGGGCUUAACCUGGGGGCUGCAUUUGAUACGUGUGGGCUGGAGUGCGGAAGAGGGUCGUGGAAUUCCCAGUGUAGAGGUGAAAUUCGUAGAUAUUGGGAAGAACACCGGUGGCGAAGGCGGCGACCUGGUCCGUGACUGACGCUGAGACGCGAAAGCGUGGGGAGCGAACAGG
This 253-nucleotide ribosomal RNA is filed under the name uncultured bacterium. Its description in RNAcentral is "partial 16S ribosomal RNA". It matches the Rfam family "Bacterial small subunit ribosomal RNA", at positions 524 to 776 of the family's 1533-position model. The record is from RNAcentral.